CUCUAUCUUUCUCUUCCUCUUUUCAGCCAGCCAUAGUGUGGAUGUGAUGGUGAGAGUAAGGAGCAAAAACAGUCAUCAGAGCCCUCUGCUGAACAUGGCAGAGCAACAAGAGAGAAGGAGCCUAGGACUGCCUGUUUCAAAGUUUGGAGUAAUUUUUUAUCCAUUGGUACAGGGAUUGCUGGCCAUUCCCAGCAAGUGGUGACCCCAAUGGACCACCUUGCAACACCGUACGGACUCCCCCAAAACAAGAAGUCUGCAUGCACUCCUGAAUACGACAUCAGUCACUCCUUAGGACUGCAGUGCAGCAGCUCUUUCUGUCUAUGGGUGCUGUCACCAUGCUUUAAUAAAAUCACCUUUUUUGCAC
This 364-nucleotide long non-coding RNA is filed under the name Mustela putorius furo (domestic ferret). RNAcentral describes it as "lncRNA (ENSMPUG00000025714.1)". Lineage: Eukaryota; Metazoa; Chordata; Mammalia; Carnivora; Mustelidae. The record is from RNAcentral.